AAAAAAAAAAAAAAAAAACAACAAAGAAAGGCCCCAGGCUAUGGCAGGGUGGACCCAAGACUGUUACUUGCUGUAUGUGGACACCUAAAGGCCCCCAGAACCAUCCAUCCUCAUCAUAGAAACUGGACGUUCUGAUCUUACACGAUUGUUUCAGCCCCCUCCCCACACAUGCCGACUGCCCUCAGUGUCUGCUUCCUUAAGCCUGCUUCCAUUUUAGCUAUUAGCGAGGGUUUUGCAUCUCGUUGCCUGCCAGCAUAUUAUGUGCAUCUCAUUAACUCUGAAGGCUCCACUACCCUUUAGGGACCAGACCUUCACAGACGUAAUGGCCUUCUGCCUGAGGUUUGAGUUUGCUGUUACUCUUUCUACCUUGGCUGAGGAAUGUCAGCCCAUGGAUUUCUAAUAAGUUCACAAAUUGCUCUAUGAAAUUGAGGUGAGAAAAAUGUCACAUUCUUUUUUUUUUUAAUUUUUAAAAAUCAAAUCUGGCUUGGAGCCCCCACUUAACCAUUCUCAGCAGAAGUCCGACUCCAGUCAUUGUGAUUUACUCACAGGCAGGGGAUGGGGGUUUUGGUGAGAGGCUUCCCCUCCUUCAGGUUGCACCAACACCCUGCUGCUGAAGCAGGUCAGGAGAGCGGGGUGAGCACUACGUCAUCAGGGCAUCCUGAUCACUCUUUCCCCGGGCUCCUUCUGCGACACAGUGAAGACUCUAAACACUGUCUGGUGCUGUCGUCAGGCCCUGCCCUCCACAGGCAGAGUCUUUUCUAGUGUGCCCAGGCUUUGUUCCGGGGACCUCCAGGCCUCAGUGUCCAUCCACCACAGGCAUCCCUCACAGUUGCCUGACACGAGGUCCUGCCCUCUGUGGGCACUGUGAGCUGGAUGUCGUGGAGCUACCGUGCAUGCUACAGCCCUUGUCUCUUCUCAGCUUUGGGGGACCCAACACUCCAGGUUGGGCAGUUCUCUCCUCUUUCCUCCUGACCCCAGAGUCUCUUUCCUUUCUGCCACUGGGAGAGCAAACCCUCCUUCCCUGGGCCUAGACCUUUCAAAACAAUAGGCUGCUGGAGGGAUUAUCUGAGUGAAGAUAAGUUUUCUCUCUCUCCUCCCCUCCCUUCUUCUCCCCUUUCUUUUCUUUUGCCCUGAAACAAGAAGCUUGUUAACCAGACUUCUGAGGAUAAAGAGAGCCUGGACUCAAGAGCAAUCCCCAGGUAACCCUAUAGGGUGGCAGUGGGAAUCUUUUAUCCUAAUUUUGGGUGGGGGGUUGGCAUCAAUUACUUUCUCAAUAACACCUGUUGUGGAUUCAUAGAAAUGGAUAGAACCUGAGAGAGCUUCCGUCCCAACCAUCUCAUUUUUCAAAGGAGCCAGAGGAGCAAAGGGAGGAGGCCCAAGAGGAGAGUGGGGAUGCCUAGUUCAUGUCUGAGCCAGGACCAGCAUCCAGGUCUCGACUGCCACUCCCAGGAUCCUGCAUUUGGGAGCCCCCAGGUGAAUCAUGCUGUUAGACUGCCAAGUGGAGGGAUAGAGGCAAGGUCCUGCCUUCAAAGACAUGAAUGUCGCAUGGAAAGAACAGGGCAACACACACGAAUCCACUAUGGAGUAUCGUAAGCCAGUGUACCACUGAAGGCUCACGGAGCAUUUCUGAGGAACUCAGUAAAACGAAUAAUGAUUGUAGACUAUCGUUAGUCAAAUACAACUUAACUGGGAAAAUGGAACUGGACCAUGGUCUUGAAAAACAAGUGGAGCUAGAGAAUCAAUGUGAGGGCUGAGAUGAAGGUAUGCAGUUUGUCAACCUCCACAGUAUAAAAAAAAAGUAAGCAAAGAAAGUGAAGCAAAAGAAAACUCAGGAGUAUGAGGAGGAUCAGCACAGUGCAGUCAUGAAAACUAGCCAAGGCAAACCUGCCUAGCAGGAGGCCUGGCACAUUUUGGAUGUUCUUGACUUCUUUUUUCUUACCUUGCUGGCAGUCAGCAGAUACAUGGGAUCUUUGAACCCUCUAGAAUUACAUGCAUACAGCAUGGGUGAUUUGGGGUGAUGGUGUAUAAGUGCAUUAUAUGAAAUCAGGUCUGAGGUUUUCAUUAGGUUCUCAAUAUAUCUUGCUCUCCCUCUUCCAGGAAUAUAGUAGGAUUGCAUUUCUGAGCCUGUAUUAGUCCGUUUUUACACAGCUGAUAAAGACAUACCCAAGACUGAGUAGUUUAUAAGGAAAAAGGGGUUUAAUGGACUCACAGUUCCGCAUGGCUUGGGAGACCUCACAAUCAUGGUGGAAGGCAAAAGGCUUGUCUUAGAUGGCAGCAGAGCUCAGUGCCCCCUCUGUCACAAUGGCCAGCAAUGUUCCAGAUAGUGACCACUCACUCAGCUAGGGUUCCAGAGGGAGGAAGAUGCAGAGCAGAGCCCCAGCUGACCUGCAGUGGACAUAUGAGGGGGAAAUUUGGAGACAGACACAUACACAGGGAGAUGCCGUGUGAAGACUUGAGUUCUGCUGCCACAAGCCUAGGAACCAUUAGAAGCCAGGGAAGAGGCCUGGAACAGCUCCUUCCCCAGCACCUUCAGAGGGAGCAAGCCUCUACCAACAACCUGAUUUUGAACUCCUCGCCUCCAGAACUGUGAGACAAUAUAUUUCUGUUGUUUUAAGCCACCCAGCAUGUGGUACUUGGUUACAGCAGCCCUGGCAAACAAAUACAGGUUUGUAGGACUGUAUCUUUAGAGAUGAAAAGGAGAACCUCAAGCGGAAGGAAGAGCAUGAGCUUACUGGGGUAAGAAUAUGUAUUUAUAUAUUGAGUGCAUUCAGCAGUUCGGUUCUACUGGAACCACGGUCUGUAAAGGAGCCAUGUAUGGGAAGGUUAUUGUGGCCAAGUAACAGAGGCUUUGAAUGCUGGAAAAGACAUCUAAAUUUUGGAGCCAGGCACGGUGGCUCACGCAUGUAAUCCCAGCACUUUGAGAGACCGAAGCAGGUAGAUCACGAGGUCAAGAGAUAGAGAGUAUCCUGGCCAACAUGGUGAAACCCCUUCUCUACUAAGAAUACAAAAACUAGCUGGGCGUGGUGGCAUGCACCUGUAGUCCCAGCUACUUGGGAGGCUGAGGCAGGAGAAUCGCUUGAGCCUGGGAGGUGGAGGUUGCAGUGAGCCGAGAUUGCAGCACUGCACUCCAGCCUGGUGACAGAGCAAGACUCCAUCUAAAAAAAAAAAAAGACAUCUACAUUUUUAUCUGGCAGAGUUUGCUUCUUUUGUGUUAAUAUUUACUUCUAUCUAUCUUGGCCUAAAAUGAUUUGAGGUGGCUGACCUUAGCAUGUAGAUCAUGGGGAACCAGGUUGUGUGCCAGGAAGUGACUUGAUCGGCACCUGCACAGGAAGAUGAUCUCGGAUGCAACUCCUUGGAGAAACAGAGUCAAGCAGCAGCCCAGGUGAGAAGCUUGGCCAUCAUCUGAAAACUAUGCAAAGCAGGUCUGAACUAGGAAAAGGGCAGAAGGUCAGAGAAGAGGGGAUAAAGACAAGAGGUGAAAUGAUAGGUUGACCUGGCAAAUGCUUGCAUGACACAGGAAGAGAGAGAAAGGAAUUGAAUGGAACGUGGUCAACAUUUGAGCCUGGUGACUGUGAGGACAGUGGUGCCAUUUGCAGAUUUAGGAGGAAGCAUCACGUUGGGGAGGUGGAGGAGUUGGUUUUGUGCACAUUGACUCUGAGGUGGUGGAGGGGUCCAGCAGGCAGUUGGACUUAUGAGAAAAUGCACCAUUAUUCAUCCAAACAAGAUAAUUGAAUUUUUGAAGGCAGCUAAAAAAUAAUGGUUCUACGCUACAAGAAAUGAAGUGAAAUGGUAAAACAACAACAACGACAAAAAAACAUACACACACACACACAAAAAGCAAAAAACAAAAUAACCCACCCAAUUAAUCCAUUUGGAGGUUGUUCUCAUCUAGUGAAAUGUGUGUGUGUGUGUGUGGGUGUGUGUGCACUUCAGUACUGUUAACAAAGAAAAGGUCUGGUCAGUGGCAAAAACUACUUGAAUGCUGCUUUCAGCAAAGUCAUCCCUCUCUUCAGAAGGAUGAAGUACUCUUGUUUGUCAAGGAAGGUCCCUCUCAACUAGAAAAACAGCUGCAGGAACUCCAACCCAAGGUCCCCACAGCCCACAGGGGUGAUCUCUUGCUUUGCUCUCCUGGCUGUCUCAGGAAGCAGAAGUGGAAACAUUUGAGAUGACAGCAGCUCUGCUUUCUUUGUAGAGUUAAUUAGCUGGUGAAUACUGAGCUCUCCGACAGAGAGGAAGCUCGGGUUAUCAAAGUAUUAUUAAUUGAUGCAUCUGGAGAAAGAGAGAAGCAGCCCCAUCUGGACAGAGCUUGGAUUCUUUUAGCGCCAGAAUGGAAGAAAGCCCUUUUUAAAGUACAGUAAGAAAAGCCUGGUUCAGCUAAACAGUGAGGGGUAGUAGAAUCUAACUCGCACUCAACCCUACUUAACACCUUCCAUUCUUAAGUAUUUAUUAAGCCCGGUACAAGUGACAAAUACCACAUGUGAUCUGUUGUCACCAAAACUCAUUAAGACAAAUAAUAUUGAAUAAGAUCACACAGGAUGGCUUGCCAUCAGAACUACUUACUACUUCAGGCCGGGUGCCAUGGCUCAUGCCUGUAAUCCCAGCACUUUUGGUAGCUGAGGCAGGUGGGU
RNAcentral lists this long non-coding RNA (4628 nucleotides) under Homo sapiens (human). RNAcentral's name for it is "HSALNT0343547". Lineage: Eukaryota; Metazoa; Chordata; Mammalia; Primates; Hominidae. The record is from RNAcentral.